UAGGGAAUCUUCGGCAAUGGGGGCAACCCUGACCGAGCAACGCCGCGUGAGUGAAGAAGGUUUUCGGAUCGUAAAGCUCUGUUGUAAGAGAAGAACGUGUGUGAGAGUGGAAAGUUCACACAGUGACGGUAACUUACCAGAAAGGGACGGCUAACUACGUGCCAGCAGCCGCGGUAAUACGUAGGUCCCGAGCGUUGUCCGGAUUUAUUGGGCGUAAAGCGAGCGCAGGCGGUUUAAUAAGUCUGAAGUUAAAGGCAGUGGCUUAACCAUUGUUCGCUUUGGAAACUGUUAAACUUGAGUGCAGAAGGGGAGAGUGGAAUUCCAUGUGUAGCGGUGAAAGGCGUAGAUAUAUGGAGGAACACCGGUGGCGAAAGCGGCUCUCUGGUCUGUAACUGACGCUGAGGCUCGAAAGCGUGGGGAGCAAACAGG
Molecule: ribosomal RNA, 429 nt
Filed under: bacterium
Lineage: Bacteria
Description: partial 16S ribosomal RNA
Rfam family: Bacterial small subunit ribosomal RNA
Source: RNAcentral